GAUGAACGCUGGCGGCGUGCUCCCUACAUGCAAGUCGAACGGACUUUAUAUGAAGCCUAGCGAUUAUAAAGUUAGGGGCGGACGGGUGAGUAACGCGUGCCUAACCGGCCCUGUACCGGGGGACAACAGUUGGAAACGGCUGCUAAUACCGCAUAAGCGCACGGUUCCGCAGGGAACAGUGUGAAAAACUCCGGGGGUACAGGAUGGAUUCGCGUCUGAUUAGCCAGUUGGGGGGGUAACGGCCUACCAAAGCAACGAUCAGUACCCGGCCUGAGAGGGUGAACGGCCACAUUGGGACUGAGACACGGCCCAAACUCCUACGGGAGGCAUUUUUGGGGAAUAUUGCACAAGGGGGGAAACCCUGAGGCAGCGACCCCGCGUGAGUGAAAAAGUUAUUCGUAACGUAAAGCUCUAUCAGCAGGAAAAAAAAUGACGGUACCUGACUAAAAAGCCCCGGCUAACAACUUG
RNAcentral lists this ribosomal RNA (468 nucleotides) under uncultured bacterium. RNAcentral's name for it is "partial 16S ribosomal RNA". It matches the Rfam family "Bacterial small subunit ribosomal RNA", at positions 28 to 507 of the family's 1533-position model. The record is from RNAcentral.